AUGCCGGCCAAGUACCUGCAGGCGUUCGAGAGGAGAGGCGACCGGAGUUGCACCGGCGUCGACUGCGCGUGCCGCAUCCUCACCGGAAACGUGCCCUUCGGCCUCCCCAUCAGCCGCACCCUCGUCAUUUCCCUCCCCAAGGUCUGCAAGUCCCUCUCCGUCCAGCUCAUGUGCAGAGAUACAGCGACGCAAAUCCCAGCUCCCCCCCUCUACGGCCUAUUGCAUUUUGCUCCGGGGAAGCUAAUUAACACUGCACGAAAACCCUUUGCUUAA
RNAcentral lists this ribosomal RNA (273 nucleotides) under Triticum aestivum (bread wheat). RNAcentral describes it as "partial small subunit ribosomal RNA". The record is from RNAcentral. Lineage: Eukaryota; Viridiplantae; Streptophyta; Magnoliopsida; Poales; Poaceae.